UGUCUGUAGAAGUGAAGAUAUAUAGUCAUCGACAGUAGAAUUAGUGUUGUAAGUUAUGCUACAAACAAACUUCGUCAGUCCUGAUUGCCAAGUAUAACUAAAUACAUCGUCUUUAAGAUAAUCGAAAUUGAUUUGCAAAUUCGUCGAACUUCUCAAACCUAUGACGGAGAGUUUUGCAGAUCACAAAUGUGGUGAACGUAUUAUUAUGAGGCGUUCAACACAAUCCAAGAUUGUUCAAACAGCGUAUGCGAAGAAAAUUAGAUCAUCAACCGUCGGUCCUGGCAAGAGCUGCUUACAACGUAGGUAGUGUAAAAAGUGCAAAUCUGACAUAAACGUGGAGAAAUACUUAGAUAAGUUGAAUGAAGGAAAGCGACAGAAAAUGGAUGUCAAUUUUCGAAGAAUAAAUUCAGCUUACUUAGGAGCAAAAAGUUUAAAGUUAGCAGUACAAAAAAGUGUUAACGAAUCCAUCUUGUUGGAACAUGUUUUUAAACUUUUCUCAAUAAUAUCUUUCGAUCCUUUACCACAAGAUAUCAUUAUCAAAUUUAUUAGAAGCAUUGAUCCCCAAAAAUCUGCCGAAGAUGUUUGUCUUCAUUUAAAGCAAUGUUCGAUAUUUCUUCAAUCUAAAAACAACGACAUCCGCCUGCACAGCGUUGUACAUGAAGCCAUUAUAAAUUAUCAUGAAGAAAACAUAUUUGCGAUAUCUUCUGCCGAUCUUGCCGGUCACGUUGCUUGGGCACUAUAUCAUUUUGAAGACAGAGAAGAUGAAAUCAAAA
Molecule: long non-coding RNA, 773 nt
Organism: Xenia sp. Carnegie-2017
Lineage: Eukaryota; Metazoa; Cnidaria; Anthozoa; Malacalcyonacea; Xeniidae
Exons: 3
Source: RefSeq, a predicted model, not a curated record